CGUACACUCCUACGGGAGGCAGCAGUGGGGAAUCUUGCGCAAUGGGCGAAAGCCUGACGCAGCCAUGCCGCGUGAAUGAUGAAGGUCUUAGGAUUGUAAAAUUCUUUCACCGGGGACGAUAAUGACGGUACCCGGAGAAGAAGCCCCGGCUAACUUCGUGCCAGCAGCCGCGGUAAUACGAAGGGGGCUAGCGUUGCUCGGAAUUACUGGGCGUAAAGGGAGCGUAGGCGGACAUUUAAGUCAGGGGUGAAAUCCCGGGGCUCAACCUCGGAAUUGCCUUUGAUACUGGGUGUCUUGAGUAUGAGAGAGGAGUGUGGAACUCCGAGUGUAGAGGUGAAAUUCGUAGAUAUUCGGAAGAACACCAGUGGCGAAGGCGACACACUGGCUCAUUACUGACGCUGAGGCUCGAAAGCGUGGGGAGCAAACAGGAUUAGAAACCCCAGUAGUCCCAUGA
This 454-nucleotide ribosomal RNA is filed under the name uncultured organism. RNAcentral describes it as "partial 16S ribosomal RNA". It matches the Rfam family "Bacterial small subunit ribosomal RNA", at positions 330 to 800 of the family's 1533-position model. The record is from RNAcentral.